RNAcentral lists this small nuclear RNA (324 nucleotides) under Erinaceus europaeus (western European hedgehog). RNAcentral's name for it is "7SK RNA". It matches the Rfam family "7SK RNA". Rfam says of the family: 7SK was discovered as an abundant small nuclear RNA in the mid-70s but a possible function has only recently been suggested. Two independent studies have found that 7SK RNA binds the CDK9/cyclin T complex (known as elongation factor P-TEFb). Lineage: Eukaryota; Metazoa; Chordata; Mammalia; Eulipotyphla; Erinaceidae. The record is from Rfam by way of RNAcentral.
GGAUGUGAGAGUGAUCUAGCUGUGACAUCUGUCACCCCAUUGAUAGCCAGGGUUGAUUCGGCUGAUCUGGCUGGCUAGGCGGGUGUCCCCUCCUCCCUCACCACUCCAUGUGUGUCCCUCCUGAAGCUGCGCCCUGGGUAGAAGAGGAUGGCCUUCCCAGAAUGGAGAUGGACAGGUCUUCAGUCUAGGGUAUAGGAGUAGCUGCCUCCCCCUACUAGAACCUCCAAACAAGCUCUCAAAGAGAGAGAAAACCUGUCAGUGAGACUAUGGCAUAGCAUCUUAAUGACAGCACCCUCCACCAAUGUGUGAAAUGUUCGCAUGGGU